UCUGUGUCAGAAUUUUUUGUGUGUACAUAUCGAGUCAUCCAGAGCAGUAUUUUCCUCAUCUAGCUCGGCAGCUCACCUGAUUCCCCAGGAUUUCCAGCCAUUCAUGGAUGCUGUCAGAGCAGAAGAGUGGCUGGGAAGGCCUACCAGAUGUGACCUUCAGUUGUUUUCCUGGAUGAGAUUGAUGCUGUUGCUCUUGUAUGCGACAGCAAACAAGACCAGGUUCCUAGGACAUGUCUGGUAUCUUGUGUAGAAGAUGCUUGAUCUUUGUGAAAAGAAGACUGCAACCUAUUUAACUUGAUGUGACACCUUCAUUUAACCUGAAAAGUAGUAAUUCAGUGCUAGUGAAUUUCAGAUGAUUUUUAAAUGAGAAUGGAAAACAAUUCACUAAGCUUGAAAUCAGCCCAAGCUCUGUUGUAGGAACACUUCUGGCACUAAUGGAUGGCUUCACUGGUUCAAAGGUUGUGGGAAUCAGAGCCAUCAGCAGACUGUAAUCGGUAGAUUCUGCUUCACGAAGACCUGGACACUUUGUGUGAAUUCAACUUCAGCUUGCCAAACAAAGAGGUCAGAACUUCAACUCAGCCUUAGUGCUUGUGAGGCCAAGUCCAUCGUUAUAACAAACCCCAGUUUCAAGGCAGCAUGGCAGAGCACUGCAAGUCUCCACUGCAGUCUUUUUGGUAACAAAAGCUUUGAUCAAAGCUGGUGCUGGAGCAAAUUGAGUGUGUUGGGAUCUGACAUUCUCACUUGUACUUAUUAACAGAGACUUGGACUAAAAGAUGUAAAACACACUGUACAGGUGCAAGGCUUGGGAACCUUCUAGCUCAUUUGAAACAACUAAGCAAAACAAUGGGUAUGUAGCAAACAAAAAUUUUGGGACGGAGGUGGUGUGUGGGGGACAGCGUGCAAAAUUGGAACCCUGUUUUUUUGUGGUUUUUCUCUGUGUUUUUUUCUCUUCAGUAUUAUCACUAAUACUUUUUAGCACUUUUUGGGAAAAAAAAAGAUCCAGUUCUUGGAUUGAAGGCUAGUAAAAGGGCACUGAACAGCACAUUUAGCACAAACAUUUGUCUCCAGUUUUUAUUUGCUUCCAGGAACCGCAGAUGAGGUGCCAUGAAACAGAUCUAAUACCUGAUUCCCUACUGUGGAAGAAUUCUAAAAAUCUGCCAUUUAAUUCCAAUUAAUCAGGAAACACUUCAAAGAAAAUCUUGUGAAGAUCAGAGAUAAGGAUAAGUAACAUUUGACAUUUUCUGGAUGAGUUACAGUAGUUUGAGUUAAGCUACUCUUCUUGGUAGUAACUGUAGCAAUUUGGAAUGGAGUGCUAAGACUGUUUUCCUUGAAUGAACUGGCAGAAAAGAAAAUUUAAUGAACUGAGACUGUCACCAUGAAAUUUUGCUAAAUUGCAGAGAAUUUGUUGAAAAAUCUAAGUUUUCAGAUGAGGUUUUAUUACAAAGUUUUCCUCACGAUCAUUAGAUCUCAUGCUUAUGAAAACUCCCUUUUGAUGAAAGGUGUACAUGCCUUUUAUUUCACUGCAACCUGUAGUAAGUGUUUAACAUAAUAAAUUGAGAAUUAUUAACUUCCCCACUUGAAGAUGCAAAGAGUGUAUGAAUAACUGACCUUUAAAAUGCUUAGAAGUAUAGCAGAUAAGAAAAGUAUUUGUGUUGGGGUGAGGGCUUUAGGCGAGUGAUUGCGGUUUUUUUAAGAGAAAACUUAGGGCAAACUAAAGUGCAACCAUUUGUUUUCAGACAACAAAAGGAUUUUCAAAAUCACACAUGAGACUGGACCCUGAAGCCAUUGAAUAACUUUCUUGAGCAGCUGGUUAUGCUAUAAAAAACUGUGUUAGUGAAAUAUGUGUAGUUAACAAAAACUUCCAAGAAAGAAAAAAACCCAAACACCUAACAAUCCCACCUUUAAAUGACAGAUGCAUAAAAUUCCAGGCAGGACUUUCAGAUGCACUUCAGGAGCCACAAGAAGCAAGAAAUGAUCUUUCCUGAGUUGGAAGUUGGGAGUUGGAACGUGGCACAUGACAACAAGCCAACCUGUUUUCUGCGCUACACUGAGCCUGCUCUGAAGGCUUUCCAGGGGGAAAUUAGCUGUUCCCAAAGUCACUGUUGGUUUUCCAUCCUUCUGAGCUGCCCAAGAGAUGUAAAAUGUGGAGCAGGAAGGACUCACAGGACUGUCUGUGCUCGUAUGACAGCAGGUGGUUGGCAGAUACGUCAGGCACUGCAGGACAUAAUCGAUGAAACAAGUGUUGCCCAGGUUUUGGAGGCCACCUUCAAAAUCCCACUUUUCCUGCCAGGCAAUGGAACUCUUCUGUGGAAGAAGAUCCCAUUCUGGCAGAGCCAUUUCAAGAUGGAGGAGGACACUCAUGGAGGAGCACCACCAUUGCAAUGGUUGCAAUGCCUUGUUUUUGGGUCCAUUCUCUCUUGCAUGCUCAAAGUCUCUGCAGAAAUCAGAAGCAAUUUAAUUGUCCCACACUCUUCAGUGCCUCUUGCUACACACCCUGUUCCUGCAGUGACUUCCUGCUGAGCCCCCUGUUUGUGUCUUCCAGGAGCUCACCUGCAAAUUUUCGUCAUCUUCUGGAUUUCUCAUUCCCACGAUAUCUUCCAUAAAGAUCUGCGCUCAACCCAGCUUUCCCACACCAGCACUCUGUGUCUCUUGGGACUCAGCUCCUGCUCCAGGGUGCAAGCCUGGAGUAACAAGGGUGGUCUGAGUCAGGGGUGUCCCUGCAGCUUCCUCGUGGCUCCAGUCUCAUCCUGUCAUGUUCAGCCAACACGUAAGAGGACACAGAAAAGACUGAAACCAGCUCUAGAAGCUGGAAAUUAGAUCAAGGUGCUCCAGCCCCAGUUGUUCCUGGACAGGGACAAUUCCUGUCUUCUCUGUCCACAAGGAGAGACAGUGCAUGGUGUUAAAAAGCCACUAUAGAAUGGUCCUGGAGUGACUGGGAGAGACUGAAGGCAACCAUAGAGACACAAGGGGACACAGGAGCUUCUCCAAGGAUGUUGAUUCCAAUCCAGAGGCCCCAGCAUCAGGGUGACCUCAACCCCAGGGACCCCAACAGCCCAUGCUACAUCCCAACCUACUGCCAUCCCCCCCAUAAACACAACCCUUUGGGGACCAUACCCUGGCAAGCUCAUCCCGGCACCCUGUGCCUGCUGAGCCAGCAUUCCUGAGACUUCCCACUGCACCAGCACUGUUCCACCACUGUGUCCUCCUUAAUCAGUAAACACUGCACUGAUGCCAGAGGCUUCUGUGUUUCCUGAGUGUCCCCAUGCACUGGAGAUGUGUCCCCUGGUGUCGAGUCCAGUCAGAACACACCCAUGUCUUGAUGGGUUUGUGUCCUAUGGAUCUGCAUGUCCAAAACUAGCACACAUCUCCAGAGAUGGAAGGACUGAUUAAUGAGAAAUUAAGUAAUAAGUAAUUUUUCAUCAUCUGUCAUUCUGUAAAGUGACAAGAUGUCACCUGUUGAUCAUCUUUCUCUUUGUCUUUGCUCUUAUUUUGUUUUUUCCCCCAUGUUUGUGGUUUUGGCUCUCUUCCAGUUCUCUUCCAUUUCCAAUGCAUUGUUUCCUGUGCUGCUGCUCCUUUUUCUCUUUUUCUUACUGCCUUGACUUUCCAGAGCUGGCACUGCUACUCUGCCUUCCAGCUUGACUCUCCAAAGGCUGAGGCUACACUUAUCUGCACAUACAAAUUAAAUUACUAUAAUUCAGUCACCCUCUCCCCAGAUUUUUUUCCUCCCAAAUUUGGCCUGGGUUCUCUUUCUUUCCCCUGCAUAUGCUUACACCAAAACUUCUUUCAGCUGCUGACAUCAUGCCUAACAACACAUGAAAGGUUCUGCCUGAAGGCAGGACAGCUGCUGCUUUGUGAGUGUAGAACACACCGGAAGGGUCAGUCUGCUUCCACUCCCUUCUAGCCCAUGAUCUACCAGACCUAUGGAUGGAUUCCAACUGGUAUAUACUGGCCUCUACUGGUACCUGUCACACAUUUUUAGUGUUCAUUGUCCAAAUCUGCGUGCUCACUGACUUCACUGUGUGUUACUGAGGGUGACUGAUCAGAAUAUUGACAACAGAAAUGUCAUAGACGUUUAAGAGAAAUACUUUAACUUCAGCAUUUGUGUGUCUUUUAUAUUCGCAAUCUGCAGAUUUACUCACUGAAAAGGUUUCUUUGUCUUUUCAGCAGAGAGAGAUGUUCCUCAGAUUGGAGGAACACUGUUCCAAUACCUGCAAAUAAUUAGAAUCAUUGCUGAUGAAUUAGUUUUUUAGCCAAACUAAGGAAGUUUUGGGGGUUACAAUCCACUAUAAACUCCCAUCUAUUAUUGAUCUGAACAUGAUCUGGAGCUGAGAGCAUGAAGCUAUCAAUAGUGUCAGAAAUUUCUGGUACACAGCAAUACUGUCUAGUUUGGGGAUUUCACUGGUGUAACCUUUGAAGAUGUUGAGCUGGCUGAGUCUGGUGUUUCAACUCUCUUUUCUACUCUCUAGAACAGUGAAGAGUCACCAAUCUCCAGGUUAAUGAACAAACCACAUUUCAAAGCACUCCAAAUUAAAUGUCUAAACACUGGCAUUUUUGAAGGCUAAAUCUCUUUCUAGAGCCACACCACCAGAAAAAGGAGGAGGCAACAAUUUUCCUUCUGCAGAUGGUCACUAGAUGAACUAAGAAAAUAGGUCAGGUUAAAAAAGUAAUUUUUUGACAGCUAGAAAUGAAUUUUCCUUUCCUCUUGUUGGCCUGAACCUGCAAAUUCAGUUGCAGGAUAUUGUGUGUUCACAACAGCUCACCAGGUUGAGGAUCCUUGUAAAAUCAUACAGAGACAGCUGACAGUGGCAUCUCUGCCUCACCUCUGCAGCUGAAACACCUUCUCAUCUACUACCACUUAAAUGGAGGCUUUCUGGACUUCUAACCCUCCCCUGUCUGUCUUCAGAACACUGUUGCUUAAAGGUCCAAGUCAAAUGGGUUCAUAUUUUCUAUCACAUUACCUCAGCCACUAACUUCUUGCUGGGUGAAGUUACUGGCUAGGAGAGAAGUCAGGAAUUCAGGCCAGUAGCACUGACAUCCCACAGCAUAAAAUGGUUCAUCAAGAGGAGACUACUGUGAGAGGGUCGGAGAUAGGAUGUAUUUAUUAAUUGCUAAAACUGUAGGCAUUUAAAAAAGGGAAUUUAUCAUUUAUUUUACUUGAAUUGAGUUUAGAGUCUUGGAAAAGUGUCAUUGUCAUAGAGGUCACAGAUAGGGCUGGCUCCUAUGCCUCAAAGGCUCUAGGAACCCACCAUCUCUCUCAAUGAUGUUAGGACCAUUUAUUCAUGGUAUUAUUAGGACUCCAUAUUUUGGGGGGGGAAAUCCAUCAGGACCCAGAAAGAGGAAAACAAAAUGUCCUUUUUCUGUGUUGGUAACUACAAGUCUGACACAGCAGGCUCAGCAGGGACUAGCAACCGAAGGGGCCGGGAUCUGACCUAAGCAGAAAAUGUAAAGUAACUUUUCAGCUAAUGUAUUUGAUACAGCUAAAGACUGGAAAUAAAAAUCAUCACUUCAAGCAAAAUGUUCAGUGUAGAAAUGUAGUAACAUUAUUAUAUAGCAAACAGAAACAUUCAGUCUUCUCUUCUCAGUUAAUCAGUUAGUAGUCAAUAAAAUUGAGUACACAAAUAAGUCCUGUGGUUAUAUCAAAUACAUUAAUAACAUUUAAAUGACCAUAUAUCCAAGCUGUAAGUAACUUCUAAGUAAAUACUGCUAAAUUCUUUUUUCCUGAUUUGGGAGAAAGUGAGAAAACUAUGUAUUUUGGAGGAAAGCUCUUCAGCUGGUGUUUAAUACUUCAUCCAGCUCAAUGGACAUGGGAUGGUUUUUAAUUAUCAAUUCCUCCAGACAAGUGCAGUCAUAUAAAGGUCUCAGGGAGACAAGCACUGACCUGUUUUUCUGGCCACAUGUGUGCACUGUCUCACACACACUGAACACUGUAACUCUUGCAGCGUGCAAGGUUCUCAAGACAUCACAGCACAAGUAUUAUUCUCAAAGUAUCACCAUUUAUACAGUCUAGUUUCACAUAAAGGCACCAGCUUUAGUCAUUAAACAACUAGCUUUCAGUAAAAAAAAAAAAAUAGCAAAGAGCAUAUCAAAGAAUAUGUCCAUGAAGGAAAUACUGUGAAACAAAUGGGAUUUUUACUACUCUUGUGAUGUUUGCCUAGUAGGUAGACCCUACAACGUAAAACAAUACAAAGCAUACAGAAUUACCUAAAACUAAACACAAAAAAACAAACAGACAAGUUUCUGUGCUUUUAAGUAACCAAAAAUCAGUGACUGUGAAAGAAAAGACAAAGUUAGCAGUUCAGGUGAGUAAAGGAAGCAUUAAUAACUCAAACCAUUCUUUACAUGCAGUAUUUGAAAACUUUGAAAAGACCACAGCAUGCCAAAAGCAAGGACUUGUGACUAAAAGGUGCAUUUGUUUUAGUUGUUUUAUUUUCCUGAUGUUUUGGCUGAAUUGCAUUGGCUUUCUAAUAGGAGGGUUUGAUUUGUUUGCUAUUAAUGCAAGAAAUUAUAUCAAUUCAGUUUAUGAUCAGAGGACAAAAAUGCCCUCAGGAACAAGUCAAGCUAGUCUGUCUACAAAGACAAACCACCAAAAAACCCCUAAAUUCCUGUUUAACAACUCGAAAAAGAUACACUGUUCUGCAGGUCUGAGGCCAAUUGUUUCCAGUUACUUUCUUUCUAGGAUAUACAUCUAAAGGUGAGAUUCUGAACUUCAACUGAACAGAACUAUCACUGUGUUUCCUUAGCCAAGUGCAGAAAAAUAAUCCAUCAGAGUAUUGUGUGUAUCCAAACUAUGUGGGGUUUUUUGUUAUUACUUAGUUCCAUUCUUCAUCAUGAUUUUACAUAGUCUGCUGAUAGCAGAGAGCCAGAAGUAUGCCAAGACUGUCAGAUCAUGCCAGACAUCAGCACCAUUUCUAUUUGGGUGCCAAAUUUCCUGAAAGGCUUUUAGGACUUAGUAAGAAGAAUAUCAUUACGGUAUAGGAGGGAGAUGAGUGUCUGACAUGGCCAGUUGAUGAGUUUGCUGGAAAGAAGCACUUGGAAAACAUGAGCAAAACCAGCGUGGAGCAAAAAGGAAGAUAGAGGAUGGACGUGGAUUUUUUCUCUAGAGUGAACCAGUACAAAUAUUUUAUGUUACUGUUCCAGAAAUGCAGAUUUAAACUGAAAGAACUACAGGUCCAGAUUAACACUGGCCCUGAGUGAGUCUUCAGGGGAGAAAGACAGAGGUGCCAGUCAGAGGCUGAGGAAAAGAAAGUAAAUAAAUGAGGGAGGAAAAAAGGCAGAAGGAAUGUCUCUGCUUUGAUAUGGGUGGCAUGAGAAGGAACAGAGUAAAAUUCAAAGUAAAAUUCAAAGAUUUUCUUAUUAUUUCAUACAGUUUAAUGAAGUUUCUAUCCCAGGAAAAUCAGAAAGGCACGACUCCAAGACAGCAAACUCUUGUGCAAAUAUAACCUUACCUGGCUUAUACCAAAGUUGGGUACCAACUCCCAUGAUGGGAUCAUCUAUGGAUGCAAUUCUAGAAGACUUUUCUGCAGCAACAGGCAGUACUGCAGCACACUUAUGAAUGCAAAUGGAUGGCAACUGCCUGUGAGAAAUAAAAGCUGACUGAGUACAUGCUCAAAGAAAAGUUCAGUUUGCAUCCUCUGAGUAUAUUCCUGUGGAAGAACAUCAACUGAAAAAUGGGUCAAAAACUGAAAGACAGUGAUCCUUGUGGCUAAGUCUUCUUCCGGAAGUAAGAGUAUCACAUCUCCUAAACAGUCACACCUAAGCAAGGAGAGUGAAACACUGGACUGCCAAAGAGCUCAAACUUCUUAAAAUGUGGGUUCAAAUAUCAAGUGAAAGUCAAACUGGAUCUGUGAAAUAGAAUAACUAUGUCCUUAAGUUUGCAAUGCAAGAUGUUUUGUCUAACCUAAAUUACUUGGAGUUCUACCAUACAGUGCUGUAAUAGCAACAUGACAUUUUUCCUUAGUGCUGUUUUCUUUGUAUCCAAAUUUCUCAUUUUUAUGGAGCUGUUACUUUUGCCAGAAAGUAAAAGUCAAGCAUUUCCUAGUGAAAAAAUGGUAACAGUUCUGUUAUUGCAGAGACAUACCUAUUCCAGGUAUAUGAUAGUUCACUGAUACUAUAUUUCAAAUAAAGAGAAGUCCUGACUUAAGACAUUUGUGUCACUGCAGAUUUGCAGGGACACCCUAUGGCUCAUGCAAGGUAGUCUCAGGUGGGCAGAGAAUCACAAGUAUGGGAUGGGAAAGCAAAGGAAAUUUACACAUGGGGAGCAGUUUUGGAUUACCCUGAGCUUAGAGUAAGUCUGAUUUCAAUUUUGUUAAUACUAAAGUGGGACAUUUUCUUGAUACUUCCACAGUUGCAAAUUCAGUUGGUUGUUAACCAAUGCCCAUUCAAACAAUUAUGGGAGGGAUAUUUAGCUUGUGAAAUAAUUCAACCUGUAAUGGACUAUGACUUGUUUUCACAGCUGGUGUGGACUGUUCCUCUUGCUUAUAGUGAACUAUAUCUUAGAAGACUGGUUUCUCUUCCUAAUUUUUAAUGUAAAAAGGGGUUUUACAUUUUAAAAUAACCCACUGACAACCUCCUAAUAAUGUUGGUUAUUGAUAUCUUAGCAGUUUUUAUGAUGGACUAUGGGGUGGCGUUGUUUUGGUUUGCUGUUUGCAUGUUUUUAUUUAAUAGGAACAAGAAAAGGACUGAUUUUCAGCAGUCGUGACUUUAAACCCGAAGUUUAGUUACCUGAAGUUCAUCCUGGACAAAAUACUAAUAUUUUUCUCAAAUUCUUUCAAAAUCCAGUGUUAGAACUGUGCAUACAUAGAGUUGCAGUGCUAUAAGGCUACCCCAGUCCCCUGUAGGAAAGAACCUGCCAUCUCAGGCUACAGCUGGGGAAAGGGUCAAGAACGGGCCCAGUUACAGCUUUGCAUGGAUUGGAGAAGGUUGGAGAAGGACCUGCAUUUCAGAGGAUAUUGCUAUGAGGAAAAUUUGGGAAAUUGCUAGGUUGAAGAGCUCCAUGGAGGAUGGUCAAGGCAGAGGAGGCUGCCCUUUACCUGCCAUGAUGAGAAAGGGAGUAUUGUAGAAUCACAGAAUCAUUUCGGUUGGAAAAGAUCUUUGAGACUGAGUCAAACCUUUGACUGAUCUCCACCCUGUAAACUAAACCAUAGCACUAAGUGCCACAUCCAGUAGUUCCUUGCAUAUUUCCAAGGAUGGUGACACCACCACUUCCCUGGGCAGCCUGUUCCGAUGUUUAACAACCUUUCCACAGAGAAAUUCUUCCUGAUGUCCAGCCUAAACCUCCCCCAGCACAGCCUGAGGCUGUGUCCUCUUAUUUUGUUGCUAGUUGCCUGGGAGAAGACUUUGCAGGAGAGUGAUUCCUUUUGAGAGGACAGACAGGCCUGCCUCAACUGUCCCGACUCAGCACUUCUGGAACAAAACAUGACCAAGUGCAGAAAGAGGUGUUUGCAAUGCUUGCUGCGGAUCACAAAAUAAACAGAGCCAAUGUGCAGCUGGCCUGGUAGCAGCAAAAGAGCCUAAGUCUUUGCUCUUCAUUUGCCAUGAAGAGCUGCACUGCCUGCAUAGGAAUGAAACUUUCUUUUCACCAGACCUCUCUGCCACAAUCAGAAACACCAGUGAUAUGAUACUGCAGCUGAUCUGAAAAGUGGACAGAGCCUGCAAAGACUUUACAUUAAGAAAACAGCCAGUAUGCUCCCCAUCCAGUACAUACUGAUUCUUCUUGGUUUGUAUCACUUUGAUUAUUCCACCUCUAGCUAACAGAUAAACCAGGAGCCUGAGGUGAACAAAUUCAAAGAGAAAUACCUUACUCAGGAAUAAAAAUCUGCAUAUUAACCAAGAUCUGUAUCACAAACCAACUUCAAACAUGUAAAGCAAAAUCAACCAAUGAAGAACUUAAUGUCAGGAUCCUAAAAUUCCUACUAGGCUGACAGUUGGUAAUAAAAAAAGCCAAAAUCUUGUUUGCAGAGAUUCAUUAUGUAGCAUUUUACACGAAAGUCCAGGAUGAUGUUAUACAGCCACACAUCUGGGGUGAUUAGCCCCAAUUUAAGAAUAAAAAAAUCUCAAGGAAAAGCAGCUAUUUACUAGAAUAAGGAUGAGGGCACAACAAACUACCAGAUUUGUGCAACUGAAUAGGCUGAAUGUUAGGAAGCAUUAUUUUAUCAUAUAACAAAUCAAACAGAAAUACUUACCUUGAUCCUAAGAGAUGCUGAGUACAAAGCUACUAGUAAUUUCCCACAAAAAAACCCCAGAUCAGUAUCUUUAGAGAGGACUAAAAUUACCAGAAACAUUCAGGAAUAUGAUUUCACAGUACCAAAGAAAAGGAAUUCAGGGAAGCCAUGUAGGAGUGUGUCCUGAGCCAUGCUGAAUACUGAACACAGGGGCAGUGGAAGCCACAUUGCAAUGACAGCUGUGGGCAACAACAGAGACAAGGCCAGGAGGAGGCAAACCAAGAGCAGAGGAAAAACACCAGAGCUAAAAAAUGUAUUUUGUUUUAUCCAUGCUAAUGCAUACAUAUUAAUGUAUGGGCUCUCUUCCUUGGUUGCAAAGUUAUCCUCCCACUACCUAAACUCACUUCAAUGCUCAAUCUAAACACACAGUUAAGUAAUUUCUGCUAAACUUUUCCUGACAGUUUUCUUGCAUUCAAAUAUAUGUGUUCAUUCUUCCAACUUUGAAGUGUCUUCGCUACAUGAAGGAAGCCUGCUCCUUGCACUAUACAGAACUACUUAGCUGAUAUAUCGGACAUUUACUGUAACUGCUUCUGGGCACAAACAAAGCACUCUUUUUUCUUUAUUCAGCAAAGAAUCAGAACUGUCAGAAGUAUCCAUUAGCACAGUGUUUUUCCAAGCAUUCUGUCAUACUGUUGUUACAGAAAGACAAGAAAAGCAAUCUCAGACAAGGACAUACGACUUGGCAAACAAGUAAAAAGAGGUAUCAGCCUAAUAUUCCAAGAACCUUAGCUACUGCCAGC
This is a long non-coding RNA of Prinia subflava (tawny-flanked prinia), 10960 nucleotides long. RefSeq lists it as uncharacterized. The record is from RefSeq and is a predicted model, not a curated record. The transcript has 5 exons. Lineage: Eukaryota; Metazoa; Chordata; Aves; Passeriformes; Cisticolidae.